RNAcentral lists this ribosomal RNA (168 nucleotides) under uncultured bacterium. RNAcentral's name for it is "partial 16S ribosomal RNA". It matches the Rfam family "Bacterial small subunit ribosomal RNA", at positions 1325 to 1500 of the family's 1533-position model. The record is from RNAcentral.
GCUGGAUUCGCUAGUAAUCGCGCAUCAGCCACGGCGCGGUGAAUACGUUCCCGGGCCUUGUACACACCGCCCGUCAAGCCAUGGAAGCCGGGAGUGCCUGAAGUGUGCAACCGCAAGGAGCGCCCUAAGGUAAAACCGGUGACUGGGGCUAAGUCGUAACAAGGUACC